AAAAGAAAGCAGGCUGAACAUCGAUGAGGAACAAACCAGUAAGCAACACCCAUUCAUGACUCCUUCAGCUCCCGCCUCCAGGUUCCUGCCCUGGUUGAGUUCCUCCUAACUUCCUUCAAUGAUGAACAGUGAUGUGGACAUGUCCUGCCUCAACCAUAGGUGUGAUAACUUGGAGACAUGAAAACCAGAAGUGAAAGGUCCAGUAUGUUAAUGAUGUCAGAACAGACAGAGCCAAUGUCCUUGAAGUUACUUCAGAGGAGGAGCUACCUGCAACCCUAAUUAUCUCCAGAUGACGAGGUAGCCAGCCAGCUUCUUCUGUCCUCUCCUGGAUUCACCGAACAAACAGUACAGAAACUUCGAGCAGCAUCCGCCUACCCCAGUGACGGAUUCCUCACACUGAUCAAAUCAACACACAGACUGGAGUUUCCUGUUACAGUCUCUUUCUGCUUCAAUGCUCUACUCCUCCUGGGCUGUACAAAACUGGGCAGUGGAUCUCUCUGGCCAGCCUGGUCUACAGAGUGAGUUCCUGGACAUCCAAAGCUUCACAGAGAAACCCUGUCUUGA
RNAcentral lists this long non-coding RNA (564 nucleotides) under Cricetulus griseus (Chinese hamster). Its description in RNAcentral is "lncRNA (ENSCGRG00015033890.1)". Lineage: Eukaryota; Metazoa; Chordata; Mammalia; Rodentia; Cricetidae. The record is from RNAcentral.